AAGCGGCCCCCCCUGGACAAAGACUGACGGCUAAGGUUCGCGAAAGCUGGGGGAACAAACAGGAUAGAUACCCUGGUAGUGCACGCCGUAAACGAUGUCGACUUGGAGGUUGUUCCCUUGAGGAGUGGCUUCCGGAGCUAACGCGUAAAGUCGACCGCCUGGGGAGUACGGCCGCAAGGUUAAAACUCAAAUGAAUUGACGGGGGCCCGCACAAGCGGUGGAGCAUGUGGUUUAAUUCGAUGCAACGCGAAGAACCUUACCUACUCUUGACAUCCAGAGAACUUUCCAGAGAUGGAUUGGUGCCUUCGGGAACUCUGAGACAGGUGCUGCAUGGCGUCGUCAGCUCGUGUUGUGAAAUGUUGGGUUAAGUCCCGCAACGAGCGCAACCCUUAUCCUUUGUUGCAGCGGUUAGGCCGGGAACUCAAAGGAGACUGCCAGUGAUAAACUG
RNAcentral lists this ribosomal RNA (448 nucleotides) under Enterobacter cloacae. RNAcentral's name for it is "bacterial SSU rRNA". It matches the Rfam family "Bacterial small subunit ribosomal RNA", at positions 718 to 1165 of the family's 1533-position model. The record is from RNAcentral. Lineage: Bacteria; Pseudomonadati; Pseudomonadota; Gammaproteobacteria; Enterobacterales; Enterobacteriaceae.